This 799-nucleotide ribosomal RNA is filed under the name uncultured Gammaproteobacteria bacterium. RNAcentral describes it as "bacterial SSU rRNA". It matches the Rfam family "Bacterial small subunit ribosomal RNA", at positions 88 to 859 of the family's 1533-position model. Lineage: Bacteria; Pseudomonadati; Pseudomonadota; Gammaproteobacteria. The record is from RNAcentral.
CAGACGAAAAAUGUACAGGAACCUUACCCAGGAUCUUAUCUAUAUAUUAAAUAUUAAUUAGUGUGCUUCAAUUUUUAUUGAAUUCAAUAUGAAUAUAUUAUAUUGAAUAUAAAAUAGAAAUUAUAAUAUAGCACCACCUGUGUUGUUCGGAGUAGAACUGCGAUAAAAGAGGAAAUAUGCAGAUAGCUAUAUCUACAAUGUGUUUAAUAAAUACAACCCUUCAUACACACUUCAAUUGUAUUUUAGGAAUUUCAUUAACAAAAGGGUACAUACGGGAGUCAGCAGUGGGGAAUAUUGGACAAUGGGGGAAACCCUGAUCCAACAAUGCCGCAUGUGAGAAGAAGGCCUACGGGUUGUAAAGCACUUUUAUCGGGGAAGAAUAGGUUGUCGUUAAUAGCGCCAACACUUGGCAUUACCCGUUGAAUAAGCACCGGCUAACUUCGUGCCAGCAGCCGCGGUAAUCCGGAGGGUGCGAGCGUUUAUUGGAAUUUCUGGGCGUAAAGGGUGCGUAGGCGGUGAUUCAAGUUUGAUGUGAAAACCCUGGGCUUAACCUGGGAAUGUCAUUUGAAACUGGGUUUCUUGAGUGUCGUAGAGGAAAGUGGAAUUUCCAGUGUAGCGGUGAAAUGCGUAGAUAUUGGGAAGAACCCCGAUGGCGAAGGCAGCUUUCUGGUCCAACACUGACGCUGAGGUACGAAAAGCCUGGGGAGCAAACAGGAUUAGAUACCCUGGUAGUCCACGCCCUAAACGAUGUCACCUUGUCGUUGGGGGAAUUUAUUCCCUCAGUGCCGGAGCUAACGCG